Molecule: long non-coding RNA, 638 nt
Filed under: Pan troglodytes (chimpanzee)
Lineage: Eukaryota; Metazoa; Chordata; Mammalia; Primates; Hominidae
Description: long non-coding RNA NONPTRT009655
Source: RNAcentral
CAGCAAUAUCUUUCAGGAGUGAAAGAGACAGAUGAAGAAAGUUUAAGAUAACUUGUGGCCAGUAGGCCUGCUUUAAAAUAAAUACUGAAGGAAGCUUUUCAGAACUAAGAAAAAUUAUACCAGACAGAUAUUUGGAACAUUGAGAAUGAAGGAAGAGCAAAGGAAAUGGUGACUAUCUAGGUAUUUGCUGAUUUGCUAGCUGUGGCUAAAAGGCUGAGAGACUGACCAGAGAUUUUACAAACCCAUGGAGCUCUGGGAACAAAAUUGGAGUUCAUGGCUUGUCAAAAUGAGAGACUUGAUAAACAUUGAGGAUUUCAGCAGAAAACUCCAAUAUUCUAUGCUCUGGGGUACACGUAAAGCCUUCACAAAGCUUUCACAAAGAGAAAAGCUCUCAUAAAGACUCAGGGCCAACUUUCAGUUAUCUUCAUCUCAGAGAUCUGCUUUACUUGAGUUGCCUGCAAAAUUAAAAAGUAUUGCCUCUGCAGAAAGGCUGCAUCAUCCAGAGGCUCAAAUGACCUCUACAAUAUUCCAAGUACAAUGCCCAGCAUUCAAUAAAGAUAAACAGCCAUUGACUGGAUAUUUAGUUAAAGAAAACAAUGGAAACAGACUCAUGGGAAAUCUAGUUAUUAAAUAUGUCA